RNAcentral lists this unclassified non-coding RNA (282 nucleotides) under uncultured fungus. RNAcentral describes it as "partial contains small subunit ribosomal RNA, internal transcribed spacer 1, and 5.8S ribosomal RNA". The stretch from base 1 to 73 matches the Rfam family "Eukaryotic small subunit ribosomal RNA", at positions 1759 to 1831 of the family's 1831-position model. Lineage: Eukaryota; Fungi. The record is from RNAcentral.
GCAAACUUGGUCAUUUAGAGGAAGUAAAAGUCGUAACAAGGUUUCCGUAGGUGAACCUGCGGAAGGAUCAUUAAGGUGACUGAAGAUUUACUGACCGAGGAGCGGGGGGAUAUGUGGUGGUGUGUUUGGAGUUGGUGCUGGGUGUCAGUGCGCGGCACCCGACUGCGGCACCCACCACAUGACAACCACAUGACAACAGAACAGAACACAACACCAAGAAACACAAAACACACAACUCCCAGCAGCGGAUCUCUUGGCUCCUGCAUCGAUGAAGAACGCAGC